GACGAACGCUGGCGGCGUGCUUAACACAUGCAAGUCGAACGGUGAAGGGAAGCUUGCUUCCCGGAUCAGUGGCGAACGGUGGGUAACACGUGGGCAAUCUGCCCCAGACUUUGGGAUAACUGCUCGAAAGAGUAGCUAAUACCGAAUAUUCAGCCUUGCAGGCAUCUGCGAGGCUGGAAAGUUUCUCGGUCUGGGAUGAGCCCGCGGCCUAUCAGCUAGUUGGUGAGGUAAUGGCUCACCAAGGCGACGACGGGUAGCCGGCCUGAGAGGGCGACCGGCCACACUGGGACUGAGACACGGCCCAGACUCCUACGGGAGGCAGCAGUGGGGAAUAUUGCGCAAUGGGCGAAAGCCUGACGCAGCAACGCCGCGUGCGGGAUGAAGGCCUUCGGUUGUAAACCGCUUUCAGCAGGGAAGAAGCGAAAGUGACGGUACCUGCAGAAGAAGCACCGGCUAACUACGUGCCAGCAGCCGCGGUAAU
This 481-nucleotide ribosomal RNA is filed under the name uncultured bacterium. Its description in RNAcentral is "bacterial SSU rRNA". It matches the Rfam family "Bacterial small subunit ribosomal RNA", at positions 28 to 524 of the family's 1533-position model. The record is from RNAcentral.